This 253-nucleotide ribosomal RNA is filed under the name uncultured bacterium. Its description in RNAcentral is "partial 16S ribosomal RNA". It matches the Rfam family "Bacterial small subunit ribosomal RNA", at positions 524 to 776 of the family's 1533-position model. The record is from RNAcentral.
UACGGGGGGGGCAAGCGUUGUUCGGAAUUACUGGGCGUAAAGGGCUCGUAGGCGGCCAACUAAGUCCGACGUGAAAUCCCCAGGCUUAACCUGGGAACUGCGUCGGAUACUGGAUGGCUUGAAUUCGGGAGAGGGAUGCAGAAUUCCAGGUGUAGCGGUGAAAUGCGUAGAUAUCAGGAGGAACACCGAUGGCGAAGGCAGGUCUCUGGGCCGAUACUGACGCUGAGGAGCGAAAGCGUGGGGAGCGAACAGG